Ipomoea nil (Japanese morning glory) is the source of this 72-nucleotide transfer RNA. It matches the Rfam family "tRNA". From Rfam's summary of the family: Transfer RNA (tRNA) molecules are approximately 80 nucleotides in length. Their secondary structure includes four short double-helical elements and three loops (D, anti-codon, and T loops). Further hydrogen bonds mediate the characteristic L-shaped molecular structure. tRNAs have two regions of fundamental functional importance: the anti-codon, which is responsible for specific mRNA codon recognition, and the 3' end, to which the tRNAs corresponding amino acid is attached (by aminoacyl-tRNA synthetases). tRNAs cope with the degeneracy of the genetic code in two manners: having more than one tRNA (with a specific anti-codon) for a particular amino acid; and 'wobble' base-pairing, i.e. permitting non-standard base-pairing at the 3rd anti-codon position. Lineage: Eukaryota; Viridiplantae; Streptophyta; Magnoliopsida; Solanales; Convolvulaceae. The record is from Rfam.
GGGUGUUAGGUCUAGUGGUAUGAUUUUCGCUUUGGGUGCGAGAGGUUGUGAGUUUGAUUUUCGCAACACCCC